GGCUCACGGGCCCAGCCGCUCCGCGGCAUGCGGGAUGUUCCUGGACUGGGGCACGAACCCGUGUCCCCUGCAUCGGCAAGCGGACUCUCAACCACUGCGCCACCCGGGAAGCCCCUGGGUCAAUUUUUAUUCUGUGAAAAAUGGAAUCCUGCCAACAACCAUGUGACUGAACUUGGAAGCAGACCCUUCCCGGUAGAGCCUUCGGAUGAGGUGACAUCCCUGGCCAGCGCCUUGAUUGCGGGCUUGCGAGAGGCCCUGAAGCAGAAGACCCAGCUAAGCCACGCCUGGAUUCCUGAAAACCAGACUGCUCUCUGCCAGGAUCUCUAGAGCCUCGCAUUGGUCAAUGCCCCUGAAGAGGGCAGAGUCCAGCCUCAGGCCUCUAGCCCACCCUCUUCCUGGGAAGAAAAUGCCUCUGCUCCGAAGGCAGCCAGCACAUAUUUUACUCACAACAGUCGGCAGAUGGCUGUGGAUCCCUUCUGUUCCCAGGAAUCACAUCGGAACUAACCGCGCUGUGCAUUUUCCAUCACUGGUAGCUAUCCCAACGUGACGUGGGACAUCGUUAUUAAUAGGUGAAGGACAAAGAGAGAGGGGAAGUGGCUUGGGCUGAGUCACACAGCAAAGUUAGAACUCUGAUCUCCCAGCAACUACCGUCGCCCUGGGCUCUGUCCCACACACCUGGCAGCUCCAGAGACUUGCUCCUUUUUGUACUCUGGGCAACGAACUCUCUAGCUAACCAAGCGGGUCUGACUUGUCUUACAGAGAAAUGAAGCAAAAUCUUCUUCGGGAUGGUGUAUUAUGAUCUUUCGGUUUCUACUGGUUGGCAAGAAACCGAGUCCCCACUACUUACUGAAUGACCUGGAACACAUCAUCGAAAGUUUCUGGACCCUCAGUUUUCCCUUCAGUAAAAUGUAGACAAGAUUUAUUGGUGCCUACCCCCAGAGAAGCUGGGUGCGCUAGGGAGAGGAAUGGGGUGCCCUUAUCCAGUCUAUUCUGCGUUACCCUUUACACGGGUGAACUUCAAACCUGGCUGAGCAUGGUAAUCACAUGGUGGCCUUUAAAAAUACAAAUUCCUGGGCCUUGCCCAGCCUGGCUUACUUGGAUUUCUUCUCCUUUCUCCCGGCCAAGUGGCCCCCAGGGUGAAGGGAACCCCCUUGAUUUGAGCAUCGGGGUGGUCUUUAACUUUUCUAUGUAAAUCCUCUCCAACUCAGCUUAAAGGAACCUUUGCUACGAGAUAGGAAGCAUUGCGUUCUGUCUCCUUUGAGCUCUCCCUUGGACUCACUGUUCCCCCAAUUUUGGCACUUCUCACAUACUGCUUGUUAUUUUUACUUAACUGUUUCAAAUCUUUGCCUCUUGUUUCCUCAGUUAGCUACUGGAGGGUAAAAACCAUGACCUACCCUUCUCUUAUUGCCCCGCAAAUGCCAGCUCCAUUAGCACCUAGUAUCUCUUCAGUAAAUAUUUGUUGAAUGGCAAAUCUUGUAAUUCGGAAAUCUGAAAUAAUUUCUUAUUUAUUUGGGAGACGCUCUGUGUCCUUUGGAAGCUUUCUGGUCACAUGGAAAGAACUUUAAACAAAGAGGCAAGAGCCCUAGCUUCCAAUCUUGGCUCUGUCACAAACUCCCAUUGUGACCUGCAGCAAGUCGCUCGCCUUCUCUAGCCCUUGGUUCCCUCACUUGUGAAACCGGGGCUGAUCUGUAAAGUUUCUUUUAGCUUUGGAUUUUUUGGCUACUCUAGAUAGCAAGGGCAGCCUUUUUCAUGUCAAUGUCUUUAAUGCCCACCAUGCCUAAUUUUUUUUCCUCUAAGGACUACAUAAUCGAUGGAUCAUCUCCAGUUUAUAAAAUGAGAAACUCAAGUAAAGAACAAGUAAAUGCUUUG
Molecule: long non-coding RNA, 1869 nt
Organism: Lagenorhynchus albirostris (white-beaked dolphin)
Lineage: Eukaryota; Metazoa; Chordata; Mammalia; Artiodactyla; Delphinidae
Exons: 3
Source: RefSeq, a predicted model, not a curated record